GUUGAACGCUGGCGGCGUGCUUAACACAUGCAAGUCGAACGGUAACAGGGUGCUUUCGCCGCUCACGAGUGGCGAGCGGGUGAGUGAUUCAUCGGAAGAUAACGUGUAUUUGGGAAUGGCUCAGCUUAAGCCGAAUUAAUCCCGCAUACGCCCUGAUAUUGAACGGGGAGGACCGAAAGUCCUCGCGUUAUACGAGCAGCCCUCUUCUGAUUAGCUAGUUGCUUAGGUAAAGGCUUACCAAGGCGUCGAUCCGUAGCCGGUCUGAGAGGAUGAUCCGCCACACUUGAACUGAGACACGGCCCAGACUCCUACGGGAGGCAGCAGUGGGGAAUCUUGGACAAUGGGCGCAAGCCUGAUGCAGCCAUGCCGCGUGUGUGAAGAAGGCCUUCGGGUUGUAAAGCACUUUUGUUAGGGAGGAAAUAAUAGGGGUUAAUACCUACUGGUGCUGAGAGUACCGAAAGAAUAAGCACCGGCUAACUACGUG
Molecule: ribosomal RNA, 484 nt
Filed under: uncultured bacterium
Lineage: Bacteria
Description: partial 16S ribosomal RNA
Rfam family: Bacterial small subunit ribosomal RNA
Source: RNAcentral